This is a long non-coding RNA of Papaver somniferum (opium poppy), 2161 nucleotides long. RefSeq lists it as uncharacterized. NCBI's taxonomy places the organism in Eukaryota, Viridiplantae, Streptophyta, Magnoliopsida, Ranunculales, Papaveraceae. The transcript has 4 exons. The record is from RefSeq and is a predicted model, not a curated record.
AUUCUCAUCCUCUCGCUCUCUUAUGGCUCUCUUUUCUCUCUUAGCCUAUCUUCUUCUCCAUCUUCAACUCCACCACCAAACCGAAAACUGAAACAGAUCAUAUAAAAUCAUUGCUCUCCAACCUAACCCCUUUCUCUGUCUUUUUCGUCUCCUGCACAAAAUCGAAGUUCUCCCGUGAACCCGAACUAAACCUGUAACCUCAGAACAAAGAUUUGUUGUUGAGAGAAUGAGAGAGAUUAGGUUUUGUUGAGUUUGUUGUAUUCAUCGAAUGAUUGAUUGAUUUUAAGUAAGUUUUUCUUAGUUUUUCCAAUUAAUUUGCUUUUUUUCUGAGUAAAUAAGUAUUGUUCAGAUCUGUAAAUUUCAGUGGUGGUUUUGAUUUGCGGGAUUUUCUCUCUCUCUCUCUCUCUUUUUGGAUUUCUUGAAAUUGAGUUCAUAGUGUGUAUCAAGGUUUUCAAUUUUUGUUUCAUAAAGUCUGAACUUGUUUGACAGAAUGGAAGUUAAGGGUUUCUUCAUUUUGUCUCUUUUAGUGUUUGUUCUGGGUGUUUGAGUGGAUUUUUUUGAUUGGUAUGUGGUUAUAAUAAGUAUAGUUUGUGGAUUUUAUUGCUGAAGCUGAGAUUUUUUAUCUGUUUUUUAGGGGUUUUCCUCUUUUCAGAGAUUGAUCUCGAUAUUUUGAGAGAAAGCAGUGUUUUUAUGUGUGAUUUUGAAGAUACCCUUUGUUUAAUUUAAGAUUUGGAUGAAGAAACCCUUUGUUUGAUUUUGGAUUUUUUUUGAUGUUUUUGCGAUGCUUUGAGCUGGAAGUACAAGGAGAUGGAGUUGGUCUUGCAGGGAGUUUGUGUUACUGUUUUCAGUUGAGACCUGGUGGCUAGUGAUGGUGAGAUUGAGGAUGGGUUUGCUGACAGAAGGAUUGCAGGUGGUGCAUAGUAAUGGGUGCUCAUGCUUUUGUAGUUGAAGCUGUAGUCAGUGUUGGUUGUGCUGAAGGGUUUGAGCUGGGAUAAAUGGAAAGUGGAGGUUGCAGGAUGUUUUUCUUUACAGCAUUUUUGGAGUGUCACCUUUAAAGUUUCAAUUGAGAGUUUUUUAUGGGUAUAUGAAAGAACGGGAUCUUCUCGACUCAAAUGAUGUGAAAUUUCCAAAGUUUAGCAAGGCGAAACACCGAAUUCUCUGCUUUGAACUGAAGCAAUUGUAUGUUGCUAUAACUCGCACUAGACAGAGACUGUGGAUCUGUGAGAAUGUAGAUUUUUCAAAGCCUAUGUUUGACUACUGGAAGAAGUUAGGCCUUUUUCAAGUGAGACAACUUGAUGAAUCACUUGUACAUACGAUGCAGGUUACAAGCAGCAAAGAGGAAUGAAGCUCACGUGGUACCAAGUUACUGGAUGAAGGUAGUUUUGAGAUGGCGACAAUGUGCCUUUAAGUGUGCUUCCACUGCUGUCGGGCCCCUCCCCAUUACCCCAUGUUGGCCAUGAUGAACGACGAUAAAAUGGAUUUCACAAGCAGUUAGGUGGAAGAUGCGGGUCAAUCAAAGAAAGAGAUGGUGAUUCAUUCCUGGAGAAACUCGCUAAAUCUUGUGGUCUUAGAGUUGCUGGUGUUCACAUGCUUGCUUGUAAUGCUGGACUAGCUCGCGUUGCUCGUGUGGAGGCAGCUGAGAUUUAUGAAUCGAUAGGCAUGGCUGAUAUUGCUGCCAAGUGUUUCAUGGAGUUUAGAGAUUUCAAAAGAGCAGGUAUGAUUUAUUUGGAAAUCGUAGGGAAUCUAGACUAGAAGAUGUGGGCGAUUGUUUUAGUCUUCCUGGUUGUUGGUCUACUGCAGCUGAUGUGUAUUCUAGGUGUAACUGCUUUUCCAAGUACUUUCUAGUUUGCACAAAAUGAUAAUCUCUUUGAAACCGACCUUCAGUUCAUAGUGUAUUGGAAAGAAAGUGCAAGGGUAAACCCUGAUACAUCAAAAAUUCAAGAUCUGAUCGAUAUAGAACAAUGUUUUCUCAAGAGAUGUGCCCUUCAUUUUUAGUUUUGUUCAAAGAAUCUAUCAUUUUUUUUCUUUCAUUGCGCAACACACUUUCGUACAAGGUAAUUUGAAGUUACCUAGGUAAUGUAAUUGGAGUGGCAGGUUAACUUGGAUGAAUGUAAAUGUGUUACACUGCUAGGUUAAUGUAAAUGUGAAUUACUUUCGGCAA